This is a non-coding RNA of Podarcis lilfordi (Lilford's wall lizard), 8872 nucleotides long. The record is from the annotation of a GenBank genome assembly. Lineage: Eukaryota; Metazoa; Chordata; Lepidosauria; Squamata; Lacertidae.
GUCUACUUCACAGGAGGUGGUCUACAGCAGAAAUCCUGUUUGCCAGCAUAUCUGUUAAUGGUCACUGAUUGCUUUACCUGGGCAGCUUGGCCAUUUUUUGUGUGAUGGUAAAUACUUUUAGUUCCCGAAUCCAGGUCACAAACUCAACCCAUUCAUACACAAAUAUGCUCUUAAGACAGGUAAGCAAAAGACAACGGAGAGGCUUUCCCAUUUUCUUCCUCCUUGCAGAGGUCAUAUUUGAGGUCAAUUUGGGAGAGUCAAAAUGGCUUCAGGAUUGCUCUCCUGUAUUAUUUCAGACAUGUAGUUUAUAUACUUAUGUUUGUGUUUGCCUUGUACAUUUAUGAACGUUUAUUUUAUAUUUGGGACCUUAGAAUUCUUAUAACAAUAACAUGGAGCCAGAUGAACUGGUUCAUUAUGGUCUGGCUCAUUAUAAGGCAGCUUCCUAUGUUCCUGCAUUGCCUGGGGGUUGUGAAAGUGUCACGUUGAAGAUUCCCCCUGCUCCCUCUCUCUCUCUUUCCUGGACUUCAGCUACAUCAGUACAAUUGAAAAUAGUUUAUUUUGAACUGAAAGGGUCUGACAUACAUGCCGUUUCAUUUGAAAACUGGACGAUAGCAAUACAGGGGGUGCGAAAUCGAUACUUCACUGAGACGGAGGGGACCAAAUGGAAUAGAGCCCAGCUUGCAAAAUGCCAAAUGCCAUGUACAGUGUGGUGGAAGGGCAAGAGAAGAGCCCUGUUGCAAUUCGCACCCGCUCCCCCCUCCCCUUGUUGUUUGCAUCUAUUUAUUUAUUUAUUUUAAGGGGAGGAACGCUUUGCAGAAGUCGAGUCCAUUACCGAAAUGAAUGGAUUCAAUAUCUGUGCAAUGAUGUGUUAAAAAGUGAAAGAAACAUCAUUAAAUGUCAGAGAUGUUAUUAACACAUUUUCCUUCUUCUUACCCGAAUGAAACAGGCAUUAUCUCACCAGGUAGCACGCAACCCGCUUGCUAUUUGAGAGGAGCGUGACUUGGUGGUUGGGCUGUCCCCAGGAGGCAGGAGACAAUGCCUGUAAUAGUUAUGCCCGCAUGUCUCUCCAGGCUCUGUCUUCCUGUGUGUGCUCAUACAUACUCAACCAUUGCUACACAAAAAUGGCAAAAAAAUACUUGUUAUGCAGAAAACCCGCUGGUUGUCUAUUUAAACCUGCAUUAGGAAACCAUGAUUUUUGUGCAAAUGCAGGCCAUAAAUUUCCCCCCCAUUCUAUCCCCCCUACCCUUCUGCCGGUGAAUAAUGGAGUGAAUCUGAGGAUCAGCUACUGGAGAAAGAGCUUUUGUUAGUUACCAGCAAGCACAAAGCUUUUCACUACUUUCCAGGAGUGAGUUAUACUUGGCCAGUUGCUUGGGCCUGGGUGGAAAGAAACUGGUCUUUCCCAGUUGCUUGGCAGAAAAAAUGAUAGGGGCCUAAGUUGAACCACACCAUGUAGUGGAAAUGCGGAAGACAAUUGUAUUUUGAGGAGUUAGGUGGCAUGUCCCUUUCCCUUUAACAUCCCCAGUUUGAGUCUUGUGUUUCACACACCUGUCGGGAGUUUCUUGGGUUCUUCUGUGUUGCAAGUGCUGGCUGGAUGCCCGGCUGCAGGUAGUGGGAGACUCUCAGCCGCUCUGUAUUAGUUCCAUCUCAGGGUCCUGGGCUAAUCAUGAGCAAUGCCAGGUGCACUUGAUUACAUCAAGGCAGGCUAUAAAAGCCAUAGGUGGUGGUGGUGGGGGGCUGAAGAGGUUCUACCCAGAUCAAAGGACCUGAUGCUGGGAGACCGACGGUCAGAGGUCUUUCUCCUGCUGCUCUCCCUGGGGCUCCGGGCAGCUGAAGGGGAGAUUGGGUAGCCCCUGUCAGGUGUGUUUUAUUUAAUGCUUUGCAUGCCUGCUGUUUAUAUUUGUUAAUAAAACUGUUUUGGUUCCCCUUCCACCUCCUCAUUCCUUUUGUCCUGAUAUCCUUGGAAAGAACUGCUGUACAGUGGUACCUCAGGCUAAGUACUUAAUUCGUUCCGGAGGUCCAUUCUUAACCUGAAACUGUUCUUAACCUGAAGCACCACUUUAGCUAAUGGGGCCUCCUGCUCCUGCUGCGCCACCAGAGCACGAUUUCUGUUCUCAUCCUGAAGCUUAACCUGCAGCCCUAUUUCUGGGUUAACAGAGUCUGUAACCUGAAGCAUAUGUAACCUGAGGUACCACUGUAUUUGGCAGCACACACCAUGCCCUCACCCAAACAGUACACCUUAAGCAUAAGCACAUGUAAAACAAAUGGCUCCCCCCUCAAAGAACCCUAGGAACUAUAGUUUAAGGGUGCUAGGAAUUAUAGCUCCAUGAAGGGUAAACUGCAGUUCCUGGGAUUCUUGGGGGGAAACCAUGAGCGGUGUGAGCGAUGCCUCAGCGCCUUCCGCAUGCACUUUGCCAGGAAGAUUUUGGGCAUCACAUGGCAGGACGGAGUCUCAAACACAGAUGGACUCUCUCAAGCCCACAUUUCCCAGCAUGUUUGCGCUCCUGUCUCAGAAACGUCUCCCCUGGUUUGGUCAUGUUGACAGAAUGGAAGGUGCCAUUACCCUAUGGGGAGCUGGCUUCAGGCACUAGGCCCAUAGGAGGAGGAGGAGGAGGAGGAGGAGAAGUUUGGAUUUGAUAUCCCGCUUUAUCACUACCCAAAGGAGUCUCAAAGCGGCUAACAAUCUCCUUUCCCUUCCUCCCCCACAACAAACACUCUGUGAGGUGAGUGGGGCUGAGAGAUCUCAGAGAAGUGUGACUGGCCCAAGGUCACCCAGCAGCUGCAUGUGGAGGAGCGGAGACGCGAACCCAGUUCCCCAGAUUGCGAGUCUAUCGCUCUUAACCACUACACCACACUGGCUCUCAUUGACAAAGAUGCCUGCAAGCAUGACAUGAAGGCUGGCAACAUCAACUCAGUUGACCUUGGCCCAGUAGACCUGAAGGAGCGUCUCCACCCCCAUCAUUCAGCUCAGACACUAAGGUCCAACUCCAAGGGACUUCUGGCGGUUCCCUCACUGCAAGAAGUGAGGUUACAGGGAACCAGGCAGAGGGCCUUCUCGGUGGUGGCGCCCACCCUGUGGAACGCCCUCCCAUCAGAUGUCAAGGAAAUAAACAACUAUCUUACUUUUAGAAGACAUCUGAAGGCAACCCUGUUUAGGGAAGUUUUUAAUGUUUGAUGUUUUAUUGGGUUUUUAAUAUUCUGUAGAGUGGCUGGAGAAACCCAGCCAGAUGGGUGGGGUAUAAGUAAUAAAUUAUUAUUAUUAUUAUUUAUUAUUAUCCCCACCGUGUGGGAAUCCCUUGCCUGAACCCUGAACACAGUGCCUGGAGACAGACCGUCAGUUUGUGUAUCCACAGCAGUGACCAGAGGACGAGGAGCACAGAGAGAAGAAACACCAUGAUGCAUCUGUAACAGCGAAACUGGAUGCCUUCAUCUGCCCUAGCUGCAACAAAACAUGUCUCUCCUGUAUCGGUAUUUCCAGCCACAGCAGGUGCUGUAACCUUCCAACAGUUUGACUUCACCUUUAAAGGAGCAUUCCUCCAUUGUCUCCCGAGACAGACAGAAGCCAACAAAAUCUAUAGCGUGGAUGUAUCUUGCAUCACUUCCUUGAUUUUGAAGUGGGAUAACAAAUCGGUUCUAAACCAAUUAUUCAUGGACAGAGAUCACAUGUACCAGGGGAAUUGUACUAUGCCCAUGGAUUUUCCCCCCACCUGGAACUUAUGGGAACUCAGUUCUGAUACCUCUCAGGUGGGUGCCGUUGCCAGUGUGGUGUAGUGGUUAAGAGCAGUAGACUCGUAAUCUGGUGAACCGGGUUCGAUUCCCUGCUCUUCCACAUGCAGCUGCUGGGUGACUUUGGGCUAGUCACACUUCUCUGAAGUCUCUCAGCCCCACUCACCUCACAGAGUGUUUGUUGUGGGGGAGGAAGGGAAAGGAGAAUGUUAGCCGCUUCGAGACUCCUCCUGGUAGUGAUAAAGCGGGAUAUCAAAAACAAACUCUUCUUCUUCUUAUAAGAGAACAAGGGAGGUGCUCAUGGUGAGUUCUGGCACCUCUUUUUAUAGAAAAAUAGCACUGCAUGCAUUUCUACACCCCUGCUCACAUGCUCCAGAUUUGGCAGGUUUCCAGUCCUGUUCUGCACCAGGUAAUGUGACAGGCUGCCCUUCUGUGUGUGAAAUGGCUCUGAGAAUGAGCAGCGGUGAAAGAAAACAAAGCUUUGUUAGGCAGCAAAGAAAAUAUGUUCUAUAACAGUGUAUGCAGGAGUUCCUUCUGUUUAGGGUGCCCUUGUUCGCAUCUACUCAAAGAGUGAAAACACUCUGCUCUUCUAUUGGUAGCUGGUGCCUUUUCGAAGGCAAGCCUUUGAGGCAAUCCUGAGUUAACCUCAGGGUGUGUGGCUUUAUUAAUUGUUCUGUGGUCCUUCCCCAGUGCUAGCACAUUCUUGCUUUCUGGAGGGGCUAUACCGGAAUUAAAGCUGGACCAGAGGAAAAACAACAAGCCAGAACAUUUGUGAUAGAAAAGCUAUAGGAUUUGAGUAGGCAGUUGCAGGAUGUGCACUAAUUGGAAACAAAGCCCAAAACUUUUGGAGGCACAAACUGUUUUGAAAGGGGAUUGGGUAUGUCAUGACAGUAUCAUGAGCAGAAGUAAUCAUGAAUGCACCAUAAAAAGUGUUGGGAUUUCAUUCCUCUCCGUUGCAGGAUGUGUGAUUGUUUUCAUCACAUGUCUGUGUUGACAUUCCAUACUGUUGGAGUCAUGAGAACGGAAGUUCAGUUACACCAGGGGUCAGCAAACUUUUUCAGCAGGGGGACGGUCCACUGUCCCUCAGACCUUGUGGGGAGCCGGACUAUAUUGUGUGUGGGCGGGGAAAUGAACGAAUUCCUAUGCCCCACAAAUAACCCAGAGAUGCAUUUUAAAUAAAUGCACACAUUCUACUCAUGUAAAAACAUGCUGAUUCCUGGACCGUCCGUGGGCCAGAUUUUGAAGGCGAUUGGGCCGCAUCCGGCCCCUGGGCCUUAGUUUGCCUACCCAUGAGCUACAUUGUUCCAUUAUGUUGUACUAUUGCUUUUCUGCUCUCUCGGAGAUGAAGAAGGAGAGAGGAGCCAUGUUUUCUUUUGUUCUGUUUUGUACAUAAUAAAGUAGCUUAGAAACCCACACCUCCAAUGCCUAGCUUUUGCUUGGACUCUGCUUUUGUAUUGUGGGCAUACAUCUUUGGAUAUAUGUCGCAGGAGUCCUAUGUGACAUGUGAUCAUGGCUCCUUCAAGAGCUUUCUUCCAGCUUCAGCUGCAGGCAGGUGAGCUAUUUUGCCUGUAAUAACUACCAAUGAGUAAAAUUGGGGGAGGGAGGGAAGGAGGAGCCAAAGUUUGAGUUGUCACACUUCCCUACAAUCAUCUCCCACAGAGAUGCUACAGCUGUCACUUUCUGUUUGAUGUUUAGAGCUACCAUCUCUGUAUUUCAAGAUGGUCAUUAAAAGAAAUAUUUUUAAAGGAUUGGUGUGUGAGUUUUCUUUUUUCUUCUCCCCUUGCCAUCCCCUCUUCCUUUUGUGUCAUGUAUUUUAGAUGGCAUGCCUAUGGGCAAGGACUGUCUUGUCUUUAUUGAUCAUACCUAAGCAACUGUGGAAGCCCUUUUGGCUGAAGAACAGGGUAAAAAUACUUUCCAUAAAUAAAUGAAUGUGGAAUAUUUCAGCAGAAAGAAAUAGUUAUGGGAGACAUAAAUCCAUUUAUUGCAGCUGGAAUAUAUUUUCCCCUUCUGGCAGGAGAGAUAAAUUGCCGCUAAUGUGAUACAAGACUGGUUUGAUUAUUUCAUUGGAUCAAAUAUAUCAUGCUGUUGCAAAAUCUCUCCACUUUCAAGUUGAAAUUAAAUAAUUUUAACCAUGACCAUAAGACAUUAUCAUUUGCAUAUACUUCAUCUCCAAGGAGACGUUUGAUGUUACGUAAUGCAUAAGUAUUUAAUUGUUCUUCACAUCACUCAAAUAUCAAAUUAUGUUCAAAAUGGGGAGGAUUCUCCAGGAAGAUUGCAAUGCUCUGACGAGGGCAGGAAUUAACAAGAAGUGAAAAACAUUCAGAGGACUAGUUUGUUUCUUCUUGGACUUUGGGUUGAGUGAAGAAAGCAAGGGUGUGUACUGUACAAGUUUGAUUAGUUUUGAAGAAUGAUGAUACAGUCCAAGAACACUUUAGAAAAUCGUAGUUGGAAGGUUGAUAUGUCAAUGACUGUUGAGGAAAAACUUUGUCAGGAACUCAAAUUGAGAACAUGUAGAUCUCAUGGGAUGAUCUCAAGCAUUGUGGGUUGGAAGUGAAUACAGUAUCUAGGUCAGAGAUGGGGAGCCUGUGGCUGUUGAAGUUGCUAGACUACAAUUCUCAAUGUCCCUGACCAAUUGGUGGGAUUGUACAGUGUCUUCAAUGCUCUUUAACUUCUCUUCAAGAAAAAAAAUCUGACAUGGGCAAUACCUGGAGUCAGCCUUUAAAAAGAAUUUCCUUACAUUUUCUUCCUGAAUGAAAAUCCCUUCCCCUUCUCUCCUCCUCAGCCCAAAGCAACAGUUAAAGUGUGUUCUCCUUCAUGGAGAGCACGUGUUGCGGUGGAGGCAGACAGGACACUCCAAAGUUGUGGGGCGGGCUAAUUGAUCGUGGCCACUGUUGUGAUUGGGCUUCCCUUGUUGGGAAGAAGUUAACGUUGCCAUUUGAUGAUUGACAGCCAGAAAUGCUAAAACUCCCUGCACGAGGCAUAGAACUUCCUCUUUUCGCCCGUGCAUCGGAUUGCCCGCCCCCCCCUAUAUUUAGGGUUGUUCGCUUUGACCUCGCUAUGCCUGUCAUGGGGUCAUCUGCUUUUGGGGCAGGGGCCCGGUAGGAAUUUUGUCCAUCUGGGUGAUUGGCUGGGGCCAUUUGGUUUUUGCCUACUGCGUAGCAAAUCAUCACAACUUGUAAGGUUGUGGUUAGGCAUUGGAUUAUGGUUUGGUUGGUUGAGGAACAUGGAUUGGCUGUGCCUGCCCCUCUAAUGCUGCUGCUGCAAGGGAUUCUGUUAAAGGAAUACAGGGGCUCACUAUUGCUUUCGUCCAACCCUGUCAAGGGGCUAGGGCCAUACAAGAGCCCCUGGUUGCAUUUGGGGAGGGCUGAGGGCAGGUUCCCUGCUCCGUCGCUACCCCCAAGUGUAUUCCCCUUUUCUGACUUUCGCAGGCGUGCGGAAUGUCAGUCUGUCCCCCACUGGGGGGGACAGAUAGUCGCAACCAAUGCCUAAGCAACCACUCACAUUUCUGUAUUUUAAUAAAGUUGUGGCCAAAAUUAUGCCAAAAACCUUAAACAAAAUUUCUGUGUGAUGUGUAAGUUAUUUGGGGUGGCCCUGGGGACCUCGACACACAAGUUUCUGUUUUCUUUUCAAACAGUUGGAAAGAAUGAAUUGCAGCACAAUCCUAACCAGACCUACCCAGAAGUAAGUCCUGCUGAAUUCAGUGGGGCUUAGACCUAGGUAAGUUAAAAGCCUUAAGCUUGUUUCUUCCUCGGUUUCAUUCUGUUCUUCCUUGAUUGCUGCAACUUGAAAAUCAGAAAACUGAAGACAAUCUGUUCCCGGUUGGUUCAAUCCUUUUUGGCCAUUUUCCCAGUGAUGCGAUUGCCUCCACUAUUAGUGGUGGAUGUUUACGUGAGCUAAUGCCUUGUGAUGUGCAAACACCAAGGAAAUAUUAUCUGAUGCCUCUGUGCUGGGAAGAGUUAAAUCUUUUUUGACAAUUCAAUAGUUCCCUUUGGGUCUUCACAAAUGGCACCUGUUGUUGAAGUCAAUAGAGCUUACAAUUUAAUUUCAUCUGCCUGCAAACAAUCUCUCUCAUUAGGGGGUGAAAUGAUGAUAGAAUUCACUGAGGCAUGCAGUUUCGCCUUCUUGAGGGCACUACGUAAGUACAGUCAUCAUUUUCAACAAAGGGAGGCACAAUUAUCCUGGAAACCGAUUGUAAGGAAGACAAAAUCUGCGGGGGGAAAAAAGAGAAGGACCAUAAAAAGUCGGGCUCUGCAAUUUUGCUACAUUUGUUGCUCAAUGCCAAUUUGCAGUGUAAUUAUUGUGUUUAACAGGAUCUGGAAAUGUAGCAGUCUAAAUGACAGGUAAAUGGCUUCUUCUUUCUUUCUCCCUUUUAUCUUAACAUUAGUGCUGAACUCGAUGGCUCGGGCAGUACAUAUUCAUGUGAGGUUUUCGCCAGGAUGAAGGCAGUCUUUUCUUCUGGGCUCCUCAUUUCGCGUAUUGCGUCUUCAGUGUUUUCUAAAGGAGAAAAAACAGACACCUCCCCCAAAAAGAAAGGAGAGAUAUUAGGCAGGCCAGUCCUCAAAGUUCUUGAAAUCAAGGAAGUGUUUGUCAGAACCACAUAUUUGGAAUGCUGCAGUUAUGUUUUUUAGCCUGGCUUUGGGAAAAGGCAAACUUUUUGCAGCUGAAUUGGGGGUUGUAAUGGACUGCACUUAUUUCCAGUACAAGUUGAUGGGCUCUGUCAAAUCUCUGACUGUCAGGGUCUUAUGUGAUGCUGCUACCAGAGACCUUGACUUAUGUCUGCCUUCCUGCACCUGUUAUGCCUUUUUUGACCAGCCUGGUGACCUGAUAAGUCAGUGACGGCUUUAGUAGGUCCAGAAAGGAAAUGGAAAAUGGAUUUACUGCCUUGGUUUCUACAAUAGCGACUAGUUAUCUUCCAAUGGCUGUGCAAUUCUGCUUCCCAAAAACUGUCUUCGUCAUGAAUACUGCAGUUCAAACUGUUUCUUCUGUGGGAUCCCUUUGAUGCAGGAUGUCAACAUUGCUUGGGUUCACGACAUGUUCAUCGAUAUUUCCCAGUUUUCCAUCAUGUGUGUGUCUUGGAAACGAAGUCCACAUCAUAGUUCACUAUGGCCUAUAACCUGCUGAAUUAAAGGCUUGCCUCAUUCCCUUAUAA